AGAGUUUGAUCCUGGCUCAGAAUCAACGCUGGCGGCGUGCCUCAGACAUGCAAGUCGAACGAUUAAAGCUCUCUUCGGAGAGUGUAUAGAGUGGCGCACGGGUGAGUHACACGUAAGUUAUCUACCCUCGAGUGGGGAAUAACAUCGGGAAACCGAUGCUAAUACCGCAUAAUGCAGCGGCACCGCAAGGUGACAGUUGUUAAAGAUUUAUUGCUUGAGGAGGAGCUUGCGGCAGAUUAGCUAGUUGGUAAGGUAAUGGCUUACCAAGGCUACGAUCUGUAUCCGGUCUAAGAGGACGGUCGGACACACUGACACUGAAUAACGGGUCAGACUCCUACGGGAGGCAGCAGUCAGGAAUUUUGGGCAAUGGGCGAAAGCCUGACCCAGCAACGCCGCGUGAAGGAUGAAAUAUUUCGGUAUGUAAACUUCGAAAGAAUAGGAAGAAUUAAUGACGGUACUAUUUAUAAGGUCCGGCUAACUACGUGCCAGCAGCCGCGGUAAUACGUAGGGACCAAGCGUUGUUCGGAUUUACUGGGCGUAAAGGGCGCGUAGGCGGCAAAUCAAGUCAGCUGUGAAAUCUCUGGGCUUAACUCAGAACGGUCAGCUGAUACUGCUUUGCUAGAGUGCAGAAGGGGCAAUCGGAAUUCUUGGUGUAGCGGUGAAAUGCGUAGAUAUCAAGAGGAACACCUGAGGUGAAGACGGGUUGCUGGGCUGACACUGACGCUGAGGCGCGAAAGCUAGGGGAGCAAACGGGAUUAGAUACCCUGGUAGUCAAUCGAAUUCCNCGSCCC
This 791-nucleotide ribosomal RNA is filed under the name uncultured bacterium. Its description in RNAcentral is "bacterial SSU rRNA". It matches the Rfam family "Bacterial small subunit ribosomal RNA", at positions 8 to 815 of the family's 1533-position model. The record is from RNAcentral.